Molecule: ribosomal RNA, 484 nt
Filed under: uncultured bacterium
Lineage: Bacteria
Description: partial 16S ribosomal RNA
Rfam family: Bacterial small subunit ribosomal RNA
Source: RNAcentral
AUUGAACGCUAGCGGGAUGCUUUACACAUGCAAGUCGAACGGUAGCGCGGACUUCGGUCUGGCGGCGAGUGGCGAACGGGUGAGUAAUGUAUCGGAACGUGCCCAGUAGCGGGGGAUAACUACGCGAAAGCGUAGCUAAUACCGCAUACGCCCUACGGGGGAAAGCAGGGGAUCGUAAGACCUUGCACUAUUGGAGCGGCCGAUAUCGGAUUAGCUAGUUGGUGAGGUAACGGCUCACCAAGGCGACGAUCCGUAGCUGGUUUGAGAGGACGACCAGCCACACUGGGACUGAGACACGGCCCAGACUCCUACGGGAGGCAGCAGUGGGGAAUUUUGGACAAUGGGGGCAACCCUGAUCCAGCCAUCCCGCGUGUGCGAUGAAGGCCUUCGGGUUGUAAAGCACUUUUGGCAGGAAAGAAACGUCGCGGGCUAAUACCCCGUGGAACUGACGGUACCUGCAGAAUAAGCACCGGCUAACUACGUG